UUGAUUAGCAAAUUCUGGAAUUAGAAGCCAUGCUCUAUGAUGCCCUGCAGCAAGAAGCUGGAGCCAAAAUUUCCGAACUUCUUUCAGAAGAGGAGAAGGAGAAGCUGAAGGGCGCCGUGGAGCAGUGGAAGCGGCAGGUGAUGAGCGAGCUGCGGGAGAGGGACGCCCAAAUCCUGCGGGAAAGGAUGGAGCUCAUCCAGCACGCCCAGCAGAGAAUUAAAGAGCUAGAAGAAAGAAUUGAAGGCCAAAAAAGACAAAUAAAAGAGUUAGAGGAAAAGUUUUUAUUUUUGUUUUUAUUUUUCUCUUUAGCUUUCAUUCUUUGGUCAUAGUCCUUCAGGCCACAUGCACAAGCCCCCUGAGGCCGCUGCAGCUGCUCCUGCUGUCCUUGCCGGAGGGACAGCCCUGCUCCCCGAGCCCCUGGCAGAGACUUUGCCCUCCCCAGCCCCGGGUCUGCCCGGCUCCCUGCUGCUGGCCAUGGCAGGGGCAUGGGGCACCUCCAGCGGGGCUGAGCCGGGCUGGGAGGGGGUCCCGAGAGCCCCGAGGAGCCUUUGGAGGGGACAGAACUGAGAGAGAGAGAGAGAAAAGCUGCUGCUGUCCUGCUGCAGCCCUGAGAGCCCAAAGAAGCCUUUGGAGGGGACAGAACUGAGCAUCAGAGAGAGAGCAAAGCUCUGCUGCUGUCCCGAGAGCCCCGAGGAGCCUUCGGAGGGGACAGGACUGAGAGAGAGAGCAAAGCUCUGCUGCUGCCCUGCUGCAGCCCUGAGGAGCCUUUGCAGGACAGGACUGAGUGACAGAAAGGCAGAAGCUGCUCCUGCCCUGCUGCAGCCCAGCUCUGCCUGCAGCUCCUCACUGAUUCGGACACUCUGGGUUGGUCCUGGUUCCCUGCCCAGCAAAUCUCUUCUCUAGAAGUGCCCGUGUCCUGUUCCUGUGCCACACAUCGUGCUCGUUCCACAGUUCUGCAAAUUCUGUCUCCAAAGAGGAUUUUAGGAAACAUUCCAGAGGAGUAGCUCGUGAAAAGAUGGAUGGGAGUGAAAAUGAAGGGGUUUGUUCCAAGGUAUUUCUUCGUUGCACAGGGUGUGUCCUGUGCUUUGUUGAAUAUCCCACAAGCCCGGUUUUAGGAAAAGCAUAAAACUACAUUCAGGAAAUCAAGCUGUAAUUUCUUUUUUUGAGUUGUCAGUAAACCAUGAUGAGAAAAAUUAUGCAAUCAUUUGUAAUUGGCUGUCCCUGAACAAUGACACAAAGGCUUAACACUGUCCCAGCAAAACGUUCAACCUGGAAAAGAGUGAAGUAAACCAGAUGAUGCCUGAUCCACAUGCAGGGGACUGGGAGAGCAGCAAGAGGGAGCAGAAGGUGGCACCUGGAAGAUGCCCUCACCUUGGGGAAAGGGAGCACAAGUCCCACAGAGCCGAGCCCGCAAGGGAAAAGAAUCCUCCAGAAACACGGGUGAAGAGGGGCAAAUCCAGAAGAAAUUCCAGAGUGUGACUGACCACAUUGCAUCCACAGCCAAGCACAGAAAUGCAGGGCUGAGAGGCAAAGCCAGGGAAGAGGAACAAGGCCAGGACCAAGACCAGGGAUGAGGACCAAGACCAGGGAUGAGAAACAAGACCAGGGAUGAGAAACAAGACCAGGGAUGAGGAACAAGACCAGGGAUGAGGAACAAGACCAGGGAUGAGGACCAAGGCCAGGAGCGAGGUCCUGCUGGCAGCCAGGGUCCCAUGGUGCCCAUUCCCUGGGAGCACGGGCAGGAAGGGAUCAGAGCUCUGGGCAGGUACCUGCACCACUGGAGUUUGUAAAGCUAUGGAGAAAACCCUUUGAUACUGAAAUUCUUCAACCUCUUCCUGCACUUGUACAUCGACCACGUUUUAACCCAGCGCAGGGAGCUCGGCUGCAGAAACAGAAGGAAGGGAGCUGGUCAGAGAAGUGCAGUAUUUGAACCAAAGGGAUGUGACGUUUUAAGGCCAAGGUUGUGGAUUUUGAUAUCAGCGUGUGAGUCUAUCAUGGAAUUGAUUUAACAAGCUCUGAUUCUACCAAUACCAGUGCUGGGAUUCUGGGAUGAGCUGCAUUUUUACUUCUGCCUAAAACCGGGUUCAUUUGGAGUUCUACUGAAAUACUUCAUGUCUUAAAGUGCUGUAUUCCCUGGAAGCCCUGCAGUGGUGGUUGAGGUGACAAAGGGCACGUUAGGAAGUGGCUUGAGUCCAUCUCAUGGCUCUGCAUUCAGGACCUGCUCUUGCCUGGUGUGUUGGUGUGCCUCAAACACCGCUUCUGUUCUCGGAUUAACGUCCUUGAUCCUGGGGGUUUUAAGUACAAAGCCACUUGUACAGGACAGGUCCGUGUGUAAAUAAGGGAUUCUGCUUACCUAUAUGUCACUAUAAAUAUAUAUCAAGUUUUGUACAUAGGAAAGAAAAAAAUAGCUCAAAGAAUGUUUUCAGAACUGUGUCCUCCAUUUAAAUGCACAGACAGGAGAUUGCCACCCAUGUGCUGCCUCCCUCUCCGGGAAGGGAUCCCGCUCCUUCCGCUCCUGCGCGCGGCCCACCAGGCUCUGUGUGAGUUUUUUGGUAGCCCAGAGCAGGGUUGGGCUCUGUGAGGAGUUUUUUGGUAGCCCAGGGCCAGGCUGGGCUCUGUGUAAGGAGUUUCUUGGUAGCCCGGAGCAGGGCUGGGCUCUGUGUGAGUUUUUUGGUAACCCGGAGCAGGGCUGGUUCUGCCCCAAACCCGCCGCCGUGUGUGCGACAGGAGCAGAUUUCUCGUUCCAGCUGGGGAGGAUGUGGCUGUUUUUUCCAGUAUUCUGCUCUAUAUCUGUAGCCUUCAGUGAUUCCUUGAGUGCCUUACAUGGCUUGUGGACAGAAUUCCUGACCAGGAGUUGAAAACGCCCCUGCACCGAGUCCGGCUCCUUCGCACCGCUGUGCCCCUCGCCCCUCGCCGGCAGCGUGCACAGGAACAGAUUUAGCUUCGACUCAGGAAAUCGCCGUGUGAAUAUGUGUAUUAAACCCUGUAUCAUGUGCUGUACAGUUUAUAAAAAGGGACUAUUGUAAACUUAUGCAAAACGUAACAGAGAAAAUGGAGGUUUAGGUCCACUGGCUGGCGUGCCAUGACCCGUGUCCUCUAAUCCUACUCCAGAAUCAUAUCCAAAAUACGGAACGUUGGGUUCAGUGCUGCGACAGCAACCGCCAGCCCGAAAACGGGCGGGAGCGAUCGACUAGAGAAUUUUACAGAUAUUUUUGUAUUGUGAUUCCUAUGAUAUAUAUUGAGAGACUUUCUAUUCCUUUGUAAAAUACAUAAAUGAUUGUCAAUUUUAAUUAAAAAGAUCUGUUUUAAACCUUCAAA
This is a non-coding RNA of Lonchura striata (white-rumped munia), 3318 nucleotides long. NCBI's taxonomy places the organism in Eukaryota, Metazoa, Chordata, Aves, Passeriformes, Estrildidae. The record is from RefSeq and is a predicted model, not a curated record.